Molecule: ribosomal RNA, 1409 nt
Filed under: bacterium NLAE-zl-P298
Lineage: Bacteria
Description: bacterial SSU rRNA
Rfam family: Bacterial small subunit ribosomal RNA
Source: RNAcentral
GGCUUACCAUGCNAGUCGAGGGGCAGCAUUUCAGUUUGCUUGCAAACUGGAGAUGGCGACCGGCGCACGGGUGAGUAACACGUAUCCAACCUGCCGAUAACUCGGGGAUAGCCUUUCGAAAGAAAGAUUAAUACCCGAUGGNAUAAUCAGACCGCAUGGUCUNAUUAUUAAAGAAUUUCGGUUAUCGAUGGGGAUGCGUUCCAUUAGGCAGUUGGUGAGGUAACGGCUCACCAAACCUUCGAUGGAUAGGGGUUCUGAGAGGAAGGUCCCCCACAUUGGAACUGAGACACGGUCCAAACUCCUACGGGAGGCAGCAGUGAGGAAUAUUGGUCAAUGGGCGCAGGCCUGAACCAGCCAAGUAGCGUGAAGGAUGACUGCCCUAUGGGUUGUAAACUUCUUUUAUAUGGGAAUAAAGUUUUCCACGUGUGGAAUUUUGUAUGUACCAUAUGAAUAAGGAUCGGCUAACUCCGUGCCAGCAGCCGCGGUAAUACGGAGGAUCCGAGCGUUAUCCGGAUUUAUUGGGUUUAAAGGGAGCGUAGGUGGACAGUUAAGUCAGUUGUGAAAGUUUGCGGCUCAACCGUAAAAUUGCAGUUGAUACUGGCUGUCUUGAGUACAGUAGAGGUGGGCGGAAUUCGUGGUGUAGCGGUGAAAUGCUUAGAUAUCACGAAGAACUCCGAUUGCGAAGGCAGCUCACUGGACUGCAACUGACACUGAUGCUCGAAAGUGUGGGUAUCAAACAGGAUUAGAUACCCUGGUAGUCCACACAGUAAACGAUGAAUACUCGCUGUUUGCGAUAUACAGUAAGCGGCCAAGCGAAAGCAUUAAGUAUUCCACCUGGGGGAGUACGCCGGCAACGGUGAAACUCAAAGGAAUUGACGGGGGCCCGCACAACCGAAGGAACAUGUGGUUUAAUUCGAUGAAACGCGAGGAACCUUACCCGGGCUUAAAUUGCAUUUGAAUANUNUGGAAACAGNUUAGCCGCAAGGCAAAUGUGAAGGUGCUGCAUGGUUGUCGUCAGCUCGUGCCGUGAGGUGUCGGCUUAAGUGCCAUAACGAGCGCAACCCUUAUCUUUAGUUACUAACAGGUCAUGCUGAGGACUCUAGAGAGACUGCCGUCGUAAGAUGUGAGGAAGGUGGGGAUGACGUCAAAUCAGCACGGCCCUUACGUCCGGGGCUACACACGUGUUACAAUGGGGGGUACAGAAGGCAGCUACCUGGUGACAGGAUGCUAAUCCCAAAAGCCUCUCUCAGUUCGGAUCGAAGUCUGCAACCCGACUUCGUGAAGCUGGAUUCGCUAGUAAUCGCGCAUCAGCCAUGGCGCGGUGAAUACGUUCCCGGGCCUUGUACACACCGCCCGUCAAGCCAUGAAAGCCGGGGGUACCUGAAGUACGAACCGCAAGGAGCUCCUAG